GCGACCCCAGGUCAGUCCGUAGGA
This 24-nucleotide ribosomal RNA is filed under the name Festuca matthewsii subsp. pisamontis. RNAcentral's name for it is "partial 26S ribosomal RNA". Lineage: Eukaryota; Viridiplantae; Streptophyta; Magnoliopsida; Poales; Poaceae. The record is from RNAcentral.